AACGAACGCUGGCGGCAUGCCUAACACAUGCAAGUCGAACGAGACCUUCGGGUCUAGUGGCGCACGGGUGCGUAACGCGUGGGAACCUGCCCUUAGGUUCGGAAUAACUCCCCGAAAGGGGUGCUAAUACCGGAUAAUGUCUUCGGACCAAAGAUUUAUCGCCUUUGGAGGGGCCCGCGUUGGAUUAGCUAGUUGGUAGGGUAAAAGCCUACCAAGGCGACGAUCCAUAGCUGGGCUGAGAGGAUGAUCAGCCACACUGGGACUGAGACACGGCCCAGACUCCUACGGGAGGCAGCAGUGGGGAAUAUUGGACAAUGGGCGAAAGCAUGAUCCAGCAAUGCCGCGUGAGUGAUGAAGGCCUUAGGGUUGUAAAGCUCUUUUACCCGGGAUGAUAAUGACAGUACCGGGAGAAUAAGCUCCGGCUAACUCCGUG
RNAcentral lists this ribosomal RNA (433 nucleotides) under uncultured bacterium. RNAcentral describes it as "partial 16S ribosomal RNA". It matches the Rfam family "Bacterial small subunit ribosomal RNA", at positions 29 to 507 of the family's 1533-position model. The record is from RNAcentral.